AAACAUGUCUUUUUGAAAUUAAUUUAAAGUCUAGCCUGCCCACUGAUAUUUAUUAAAUGGCCGCAGUAUACUAACUGUGCAAAGGUAGCAUAAUCAUUAGUCUUUUAAUUGAAGGCUGGUAUGAAUGGUUGGACGAAAUAUUAACUGUUUCAUUUAAAUUUAUUAUAGAAUUUUAUUUUUUAGUCAAAAAGCUAAAAUUUUUUUAAAAGACGAGAAGACCCUAUAAAUCUUUAUAUUUUGUUUAUUUUAAUUGUGAAGAUUAAUUUUGUUACUAUAAAUUAAAAUAUUUUAUUGGGGUGAUAUUAAAAUUUAAUAAACUUUUAAUUUUUAAAAUCAUUAAUUUAUGAAUAAUUGAUCCGUUAAUAACGAUUAAAAAUUUAAGUUACUUUAGGGAUAACAGCGUAAUUUUUUUGGAGAGUUCAUAUCGAUAAAAAAGAUUGCGACCUCGAUGUUGGAUUAAGAUAUAAUUUUGGGCGCAGCCGUUCAAAUUUUAAGUCUGUUCGACUUUUAAAUUCUUACAUGAUCU
Molecule: ribosomal RNA, 526 nt
Filed under: Dryomyza anilis
Lineage: Eukaryota; Metazoa; Arthropoda; Insecta; Diptera; Dryomyzidae
Description: partial 16S ribosomal RNA
Rfam family: Bacterial large subunit ribosomal RNA
Source: RNAcentral